Molecule: unclassified non-coding RNA, 261 nt
Filed under: uncultured fungus
Lineage: Eukaryota; Fungi
Description: partial contains small subunit ribosomal RNA, internal transcribed spacer 1, and 5.8S ribosomal RNA
Rfam family: Eukaryotic small subunit ribosomal RNA (bases 1-73)
Source: RNAcentral
UCAAACUUGGUCAUUUAGAGGAAGUAAAAGUCGUAACAAGGUUUCCGUAGGUGAACCUGCGGAAGGAUCAUUAUCGUGGGGGCUCUGCCCCUUCCGAGAUAGAACCCUUGAUUUUUGAGAACCCUCCGUUUCCUCGGCAGGUCCGCCUGCCAACGGGGACACUUUAAACUCUUUGUAAUAGCAGUACCUUCUGAUAUAAAACAAAAAGUCAAAACUUUCAACAACGGAUCUCUUGGUUCUGGCAUCGAUGAAGAACGCAGC